AAAUUAACAUUAUAACGGCGUAAAGGGUGGUUACAUGCUAUCCAAGUAACUAAGAUUAAAAGGCAGCUGAGUCGUCACAAGCCCAAGCCGCCCAUAAGGCCUCUAUUCAAAGAAAAUCUUAGACUAACGAUUAAUUGAAAUCCACGAAAGCCAGGGCCCAAACUGGGAUUAGAUACCCCACUAUGCCUGGCCCUAAAUCUUGAUGCUCGAUCUUACUGGAGCAUCCGCCCGAGAACUACGAGCAUAAACGCUUAAAACUCUAAGGACUUGGCGGUGCUCCAAACCCGCCUAGAGGAGCCUGUUCUAUAAUCGAUGAUCCACGCUUUACCUCACCAUUCCUUGCUCAAUAACAGCCUAUAUACCGCCGUCGCCAGCCCACCCCCAUGAUGGUUCAACAGU
This 399-nucleotide ribosomal RNA is filed under the name Paradoxornis guttaticollis (spot-breasted parrotbill). RNAcentral's name for it is "partial 12S ribosomal RNA". It matches the Rfam family "Bacterial small subunit ribosomal RNA", at positions 541 to 1085 of the family's 1533-position model. Lineage: Eukaryota; Metazoa; Chordata; Aves; Passeriformes; Muscicapidae. The record is from RNAcentral.